Molecule: ribosomal RNA, 898 nt
Filed under: Podosphaera xanthii
Lineage: Eukaryota; Fungi; Ascomycota; Leotiomycetes; Helotiales; Erysiphaceae
Description: partial 28S ribosomal RNA
Rfam family: Eukaryotic large subunit ribosomal RNA
Source: RNAcentral
AUGACCUCGGAUCAGGUAGGGAUACCCGCUGAACUUAAGCAUAUCAAUAAGCGGAGGAAAAGAAACCAACAGGGAUUACCUCAGUAACGGCGAGUGAAGCGGUAACAGCUCAAAUUUGAAAUCUGGCUCCUCGGGGCCCGAAUUGUAAUUUGUAGAAGAUGCUUUGGGUCUGGGCCUGGCCUAAGUUCCUUGGAACAGGACGUCGUAGAGGGUGAGAAUCCCGUAUGCGGCUGGCGCCCGUGCCCGUGUAAAGCUCUUUCAACGAGUCGAGUUGUUUGGGAAUGCAGCUCUAAAUGGGUGGUAAAUUUCAUCUAAAGCUAAAUAUUGGCCAGAGACCGAUAGCGCACAAGUAGAGUGAUCGAAAGAUGAAAAGCACUUUGGAAAGAGAGUUAAACAGUACGUGAAAUUGUUGAAAGGGAAGCGCUGGCAACCAGACUUGGGCGCUGUUGAUCCGCUAGGGUUCUCUCUAGGGCACUCGGCAGUGCGCAGGCCAGCAUCGGUUUGGGGGGUUGGAGAAUGGCUGGUGGAAUGUGGCUGUCUUUGGGCAGUGUUAUAGCCACCGGUGGCAUGCAGCCUCCCCGGACCGAGGACCGCGCUUCGGCUAGGAUGCUGGCGUAAUGGUUGUCAGCGACCCGUCUUGAAACACGGACCAAGGAGUCUAACAUCUAUGCGAGUGUUUGGGUGUUAAACCCAUACGCGGAAUGAAAGUGAACGUAGGUGAGAACCCGCAAGGGUGCAUCAUCGACCGAUCCUGAUGUCUUCGGAUGGAUUUGAGUAAGAGCAUAGCUGUUGGGACCCGAAAGAUGGUGAACUAUGCCUGAAUAGGGUGAAGCCAGAGGAAACUCUGGUGGAGGCUCGCAGCGGUUCUGACGUGCAAAUCGAUCGUCAAAUUUGGGUA